GCUAACGACUGGGCACACGCCGCGGUAAUAGGUAGGGUGCCGGUGGUGUCCGGUAUUAUUGGGCGGAAAGAGCGUGUAGGCGGCCCGGUUAGUCCGCUGUGAAAGUCCAGGGCUCAAGCUUGGAAUGCCGGUGGAUACGGUCGGGCUAGAGUCCGGAAGGGGGGAGUGGAAUUCCUGGUGUAGCGGUGAAAUGCGCAGAUAUCAGGAGGAACACCAAUGGCGAAGGCAGCUCGCUGGGACGUGACUGACGCUGAGACGCGAAAGCGUGGGGAGCAAACAGGAUUAGAUACCCUGGUAGUC
RNAcentral lists this ribosomal RNA (300 nucleotides) under uncultured Bacillus sp. Its description in RNAcentral is "bacterial SSU rRNA". It matches the Rfam family "Bacterial small subunit ribosomal RNA", at positions 496 to 795 of the family's 1533-position model. Lineage: Bacteria; Bacillati; Bacillota; Bacilli; Caryophanales; Bacillaceae. The record is from RNAcentral.